GACGGAGGAUGCAAGCGUUAUCCGGAAUUAUUGGGCGUAAAGCGUCCGCAGGUGGCUGUUCAAGUCUGCUGUUAAAGCCCGAGGCUUAACCUCGGAUCGGCGGUGGAAACUGAACGGCUAGAGUAUGGCAGGGGUUAGGGGAAUUCCCGGUGUAGCGGUGAAAUGCGUAGAUAUCGGGAAGAACACCAGCGACGAAAGUGCCUAACUGGGCCAUUACUGACACUCAUGGACGAAAGCUAGGGGAGCGAAAGGG
This 253-nucleotide ribosomal RNA is filed under the name uncultured bacterium. Its description in RNAcentral is "partial 16S ribosomal RNA". It matches the Rfam family "Bacterial small subunit ribosomal RNA", at positions 524 to 776 of the family's 1533-position model. The record is from RNAcentral.